Molecule: long non-coding RNA, 772 nt
Filed under: Homo sapiens (human)
Lineage: Eukaryota; Metazoa; Chordata; Mammalia; Primates; Hominidae
Description: long intergenic non-protein coding RNA 3019
Source: RNAcentral
UGGUGGACCCUGCUGACUUGCUCACUACUGGCAAGCAAAGUGUUCACUGAUGAAUGAACAAUUACAUUUACCCACAGACUGAAAUAUGAUGUUAUUUUGUUUUGACUGAAAUUCCAACUCACUGUGAGAAUACUGUGAAAAAAAUCAUGAGAAGUAUCCUCAUAGGUGAGUCUUUUCACACAUCUGCACUAGUGAAUAUCUGAAUUUUAAAAGCCACUCCAGACCUACAUAGGUGAUGAACGAUGUGUACUUGAAAACAGUACACUCUUGCACAGCUGUCCCUGGAGCUUCCCCGUGGAGCUGUUAAACUUGCCCUCCGCUGGCUGUUUUCCACAAAGUAAUAUGGUUACAUAGAUUCACGGCUCAUGGCAAUGUUUCAUUAAGACAGUUCUUGAUGGCCGCUCCACACCUUUCUCACCACAUCUCACAGGCUGCCCUGCUGAGCCAGGUCUCCCUGGAACCCGGGGCUCCUGCGCAGGCCCCCAUUUUGCUCCAGAACACCCAGGAAGGCGGGGCUUGGGCUGGAAUGGGGACACCGAUUACCCUCUGUUCAGGCCUUUGGUGCCAGCUGAGGUCGAUACUGGUGCCAGGAUCGAGACUGUGCGCAUCCCAUCGAGAGCGGGCAGAUGUGGGGGCGCACUGGACCGGGCCUCCCAGGCUGACACCCAUUCACAGCAGCCUGAGCCUAAUCCGCCACUGCUCGCCUUCCUCCGACGUCUCCACCUAAACCAUCCUUCUGCACAUUGUGACCCAUCACUCCGCCCUUUGUCCA